GGCGGCAGAGCCUGUCGGCUGGGCAAGAGUCUGCAAAACUCUUUCAGACUGGUUCGACUCCAGUUGCCGCCUCCA
This 75-nucleotide transfer RNA is filed under the name Clostridiales bacterium. Its description in RNAcentral is "tRNA-Cys". It matches the Rfam family "tRNA". From Rfam's summary of the family: Transfer RNA (tRNA) molecules are approximately 80 nucleotides in length. Their secondary structure includes four short double-helical elements and three loops (D, anti-codon, and T loops). Further hydrogen bonds mediate the characteristic L-shaped molecular structure. tRNAs have two regions of fundamental functional importance: the anti-codon, which is responsible for specific mRNA codon recognition, and the 3' end, to which the tRNAs corresponding amino acid is attached (by aminoacyl-tRNA synthetases). tRNAs cope with the degeneracy of the genetic code in two manners: having more than one tRNA (with a specific anti-codon) for a particular amino acid; and 'wobble' base-pairing, i.e. permitting non-standard base-pairing at the 3rd anti-codon position. The record is from RNAcentral. Lineage: Bacteria; Bacillati; Bacillota; Clostridia; Eubacteriales.